RNAcentral lists this long non-coding RNA (1102 nucleotides) under Monodelphis domestica (gray short-tailed opossum). RNAcentral's name for it is "lncRNA (ENSMODG00000042635.1)". Lineage: Eukaryota; Metazoa; Chordata; Mammalia; Didelphimorphia; Didelphidae. The record is from RNAcentral.
AUAGAAUUUACUCCCCAGGUCUUUCUUACCCAGCAUCCCAUUUGCAUGCUCACAGUGAGUAGGAAUACUUCAUGCUUAGGUACAUAUGUAGGAUAAAGUUUUCGCAUGACCCUGCCUCUCUCUAUUCCCUUGAUCUUGGCUGCUGAAGCUGGUUUUGAGCCAGGAAAAAUGAAACAAGAAGAUAAAAUGAAUUUGAAACUCAAUGGAAGAAGAGCUCACAUUCUUUUUGGAAGAAAUAUAGGACUUGGCAGAAUUGAACAAGGCCAAGGGAAUCUCACAACUGAUGACCUCUUGCUGAUGAGUCUGGAGAAGUCCCAGUGCAAAAUCACCAGCAGCAGCUCUGUUGAAAAUCACUUUUCAACAACAGCAGCAGGGAUAAGCAGAAUCUCAAGGAAAGCCACAAGAGAGGGAAUAUCUGGCUCUCUAGGUCCACCCCACAAUAACCAGACAGAAAACCCUCUUGACUCUUCUGACUAUUAGGGAAAGCAACAGCCUAUCACUCCCCCAACGUUCUGGAGUCUUUCUGCUUUGAAGGAUUUCCUGCUUUUACCUUGUUCCUGCUUUGUAGCAAAAGGCUAAUCCUAUAUUUCCUACAACAGAUCCUAUGACUGUAUAAUUUACAAGAGUUUGGCAUACAUAAUCUAAGUAUUUCUAAGUAGUACUCUUUUAUAAUGAUUUAUUAUAAACAAAUUAAUGGAAUGAUGAAAUUCAUGAACAGUAAAUCCAUUUUCCUCCUCAUUUCUAUUAAUUAAAAAUACAAUACCUUGAAGCCUGGAUAUUUUGGAGUUAUAGAUGCUGAGAUCACCACAGCAUUUAAUUCCCUAUUCAGUCCAUUUCAAUUCAUAGAGAUUUAUAUCUUUCUUUAACCUUCUUCCCCCAAAUGGAAAGAUUUCCUAAUAUGACUGAAUAUUAGAAGAGAAAGCAACAGACAAACUAAUUCACUUAUACCCAAGUCCUAUAGGAGAAAAUUUUGCCCAAGCAAAGAUUCUCAAUACUAUUGAUUUUAUUAAAAACCUGUUCCUUCUAUAGAACAUAUGGGGAUGGGAGGGGUAAUGAAGAAAGGGAAAAUAAAUCUGGCGGGAUAUUAUGAAGUAACUAAAAG